AUCCAACUGACGAGUCGCAAAUAGGACGAAAUGCGCAUCCUGGAU
This 45-nucleotide non-coding RNA is filed under the name Trichobilharzia regenti. Lineage: Eukaryota; Metazoa; Platyhelminthes; Trematoda; Strigeidida; Schistosomatidae. The record is from RNAcentral.